CUUGAAGAUUCCCGUCCCUCCACUUGCAAUGAAUUCCGGCAAUUGGGUUUGCCGAACAUCAUCGGGAGGACCCUCAACGGUGAGGCUCAAAUCGAGCCUCUGCUGGAGCAUCUCAUCACCACCACUCCCACCAACAGUUUUAUAUGUAGAGGAGGAGAGGGAAGGGGAUGAAUACGGCAAGUAGUCAUCAUCGGAAGAGUCCAAGUAGCGUUCAGAAACAGGGUGUGGGAUGUUAUCGAGGCUAUGUUUUCUGAGUUUGUUGUGUUUCUUCUGGCCAGAGUUGCUACGUAGCUGUUGGCUGUAGGAAUGCAUCCUGCGAUUAGGCGGUGGGACUUGACUUAGCCCCGCCAAAGCUUCUCGGUCCUCGUCUUCUUCAAUUCUAUCCUCCAUAGUAGUUGUUGUUGUUAUUGGGUGUCAAGAAUCUUGAAAAGUUGG
Molecule: unclassified non-coding RNA, 435 nt
Filed under: Hevea brasiliensis (rubber tree)
Lineage: Eukaryota; Viridiplantae; Streptophyta; Magnoliopsida; Malpighiales; Euphorbiaceae
Source: RNAcentral